GGGCAGAGCUCCACUAAUUAGGGAAGCUAACUUUAUUUUCAGCAGAUUAGCUUUUUAGCUAACAUUUAAAACUAUUAGCGGGCCAAUUAGCUUCCACAAAAUUUAGUCCUGCUCACUUUAAGUCUGCAAA
Molecule: long non-coding RNA, 130 nt
Organism: Thalassophryne amazonica
Lineage: Eukaryota; Metazoa; Chordata; Actinopteri; Batrachoidiformes; Batrachoididae
Exons: 3
Source: RefSeq, a predicted model, not a curated record